UAUGUAGUAAAAGCAAGUUGAAAUGAUUUUUAGUCUUCCAUUAUUAUCUAGAUGAUAGAAAUGUGUGGCCUUUCGAAGCAGAAUUAUCAUAGAACAGUAAGAUUCAGUACUAGGUACUUGAGGUUUACACAAGGAUUUAACCCAGCGCCGCCCCUAUACCUUCUGUCUAGCCCUAGCGUAUUCUUAGAUUAAGAGUUCCAAAGUGCCAUUAAAAUCCAUGGAUAUUGGGCACCCAUAUCCUGCAGGUGUCUUUAAAAAUCUCUGUCUGCAGCAGGAUCAUACCACAUCAUCCAUAACUUCUCAGUACGGGUUGCAAUGAGGAGGAAAAAGCCCUGGGGUUAUCCUGGAAGGGUGGGGACGAUCUAUUGGGCAUACCUAGGUCCUGACUUUCAGGGGUGCUGAGCACCCACAAUCCACAAGAGAAGUCAGAGGGAGCUGUGGUCACGGAGCACUUCCGAAACAUUCUCCCAAUAAAACCCCAUGUGUUUUCAUGGAGAGCCAAAGUCACCCCAGCUCUAACACCAUUGAUUGCUCCAUUUGGGCUAGGGAAGGAAGGAGGGGCCAGUGCCGAGAAAACGAGCUGAGUUUAGUUCCUGCGUCAUCUGCAGUCACCUUGCGUGGCCUUGGGCAGAUCUCUUAAUCAUCCCUGAGCCUUACUUUCCCCAUCUAUAAAACACAGAUAACAUUUCCCUACCUCACAGAAAAGUUGUUAAGAUAAAAUCCAUUGAUGAUUGCUGGGCACUCAUAUGUUACAGUGAUGAGGGUCACAUAAAUACCUAGAGAGUAGCCUCAGACAUAGGUUUUCAAACUGGGGGUUGCAAAUAUUAUUUAUUAUUUGUGUUUCCAUGGCAUCUAGGAGCCCUAGUCACAGACCAGGGCCCCAUUGUGCUAGGCACUGGACAAACACAGGGUAAAAAGACGGCCCCGACCCCAAGGUCCUUGCAAUCUAAGGAAGGGUUUCAGGGGGCCGUUGCUAGUCUCCUUUCCUUUCUAUGAAGAGACCCCUGGAACUUUUUUCUGCUGUGACAUGGAAAAGGUUGACACCUGCUGGCCUGGGAUCCAAAAGGCACCGUGGUAAGUGGAUCUAUUUUGGAACUGGCCCAGCAACACCCCCCCCCACCUCUUGCUCUUUCCUCCACUGUACGUUGCUGUCAGGGACCGGGAGAUGAUGUUCUGUUUAUUCUUCAAGGGAAUUUGUACUGCUAAAAUGUACCUGAAAACCGUUACCAUGGGCGGCGGGUAUAAUAGGCCAGGGUUACCCUCAGUUCCUGGGUCCAGGCCAGCCAAGAAUGCUAUUAUGAGAAACCUUUCAUAAAAAGUGCUGAAAUUGUUGCAUUCCUCAUCAUUUGCUCGUAUCUCGGUGUCCAGUGUUUCAACGCACAGGAGAGAAACCUUAGUGCCCCCUCCUUGUUCUUUUUAUACUUGUCAGCUCAGUCCUCCUCCUUUCUCUAAUGCUGGCAGCACAGGUGGGGCUGCAGGCAUUUGCGAACCAUCAGGGUGUCUCACCCCACUCAGAGCUGUGUGCAAAACCCCUGAGUCUUGUCUCUGCUGAAUGGAGAGGAAGGAUGGUCUUAUGGUUAAGGCGUUGGGCUGGGACUGAGAUCCGAAUUCAUUUUCCAGCUCUGUAGGCCCUUGAGCAAGUCACUUUAAUCUCAUCAUGCCUCAGUUUCCCAUCUGUAAAUGGGAUGAUAAUUCUCUGUCUUUUCUAUUCAAACUGUAAGCUCUUGAGGGCAGGAGACUGUAUGACGCUGUGUCUGGGCAGUGCCUGGCACAAUGGGUCCUUGUUUUCAACUGAAGCUUCAACCAUAAUAUAAAUAAUUUCCCAGGCCAAAAAAAAGGCACUUCCCCACCCCAAGGGCCUUUCCCCCCACAGCAUUUCAAAGGCCUGCUGCAAACCAUGGAGGUGCGAGAGUUUCUCAAAAAAAGGUUGCAAGAAUCUUUUAUCAUGAAAAGCGUGAAGCAACUUAAAUACAGAGGUCACGACCAGUUCCCCCAUAUUAAUUAUAGAGAAGUUCCCCCGUGGACCAUCUCUCAAAGAGUUUGCUCUCCAAAAAUGUUUGUGGCUAGUAUUUUCAAAGGAGUCUAAGGGAGUUAGGUGCUCAGAUCCUAUUGCAAGCCAAUAGGAGUUGGGCCCCUAACUCCUGAAGGAGGUGAAUUUAGGACCCAAGCCUACAGAAGUACCAUUCUUCCUCCUGCCAGGGUGUACAUGGCAAUGCUGGCUGUUAACAUUGGCCUGCCCGAUCAGAGGGGAAAGAACAUACCACUUUGCAACAGGGAGCUUGUUUGUGCUAUGGAACGAGUGAGUCAUGGUCCAAAGAGAUGGCGAGAUAGCGUCUCCAGGAGGGUGCCCCGCCCUGGGAAAUCAGAGCAGUAGCUGUGUGAUCCAAGUAGGGGGAAAUGCAGCUGCCCUGCUAUUAAAAUCCCACAAGAGGUACAGGAGCGACCAGGACUCCUUUCUGCCGAAGACAAACAGUGGCCAAUCAAAGUGUCAGCUGGACUCAUUUGUUUCAAUCAGAUACCAGGUUAGCAAGAGAUUUUACAAGAAAAGGAAUCGUUUCUAUUCACUAGUUAGCAUAGCCAGGUGGGAAAAGGUACAUUCUCCUUCGCUAUCCUGCUAGUUGCUGAGCGCCCUCAACUCCUGGGGCAGUGCGUGGGAGCCAAGGGGCCUCAGCACCCUGCAGGUUUGAGCCCAUAGGCAGGAGAGGAAGAAAAAGAAGUGAUUCCCAUCAGGGCUAUUUAGACAUUAGCCCAUCUGAGCACCAACCCACUCAUGACAGGUAUUGCCGAGAGUCCCUGGAGUAGGCUAACCACACUCACCAUUCUUCUGUAAAUAGCAAUUCCACCUGCUCUUACUCUGAGCUGACACAUGUUGUACAGUAAGAGAUCCUGGAAUUGCUGUUAUCCAUGGUGUUAGUGGCCGCAGUCCAGUGAGUGACAUAAGCCACUCCCAAGGCUAAGCAGACACCUUGGACCUCUGCUAGGGCUGUGCAUAGCAGCAGCUGUGUAUCUAGCAGGGGGAACAUCUCCCCCUAUGGGCUGUAAGUAAUAUAGGCAAAAAGAAAAGGAGGACUUGUGGCACCUUAGAGAUUAACAACUCCUUUUUUUUUGCGAAUACAGACUAUCACAGCUGCUACUCUGAAAGUAAUAUAGGGUAUCUCUUCUCUUACACCCUGUCCUUGUAUUUAUGAGAGCCGGCUGACUUUUUUUUUUUUUUGUCAAUUUUGAUGAUGUUUUGUUUAAAAACACUUUCUGAGGCUUUGAAAAUGUGAAAACUUCCUGUUUUGACUAUUUCAGAAUGGACAGCUUAUGUUUUUCAUUUUGAAAUGACUUUCUGGUUUGAAAUGUACUUUAUUUUAUAUAAAAAUGAUGUAAAAUGUAGUUGAAGUCAAAAUGAAACCUUGCAAUUGACUGAAAAUGGGGAAAAAAACAGAAUGUGGUUCUCUGGAAAAUGUAUAUAUUUUGGGGGGUUUUUGUCCCAUUCUGGAGGGGUGGGGGUGGAAAUCAAACUCUUGACAUAAUUCACGGGUUGGAAAAUCUGUUUUGUGACCAACUCUAGACUUUACACUGUGGAGACAAAAAGAAAAGGAGUACUUGUGGCACCUUAGAGACUAACACCUUCCUGCUGGUAAUAGCUCAUCUUAAGUGAUCACUCUCCUUACAGUGUGUAUGAUAAAACCCAUUGUUUCAUGUUCUCUGUGUGCCACAAGUACUCCUUUUCUUUUUGCGAAUACAAACUAACACGGCUGCUACUCUGAAAACUGUGGAGACAAUGUACUAUUGGGACGGAGGGCUGUGGAGAGCAGUGGGAAGCGAUCAUUGUGAUUUCCAGGCUGAAUUUCUUGCUGUGGCCACAUAGACAGAAGAGUAAUUUCUGUCAUGUGCCCAGAUCGGACCAUCAGUUCACAAAGACAACAAAGAAAAAUCUGUUGUAUCCAAUCUAUAGUGCAAUGCUGUGUGCGGUUGGAUUUUUUAAAAAAACUUUUUAUUAAGGCAAAGUUACAAUAAAAGGUGAACAUACGAUGUUGUACGUUACUUAUUACUUAUUCGGGAGCAGGUUAAUAGUCAAGGAACAUGGCUAAAAAUUCUGAGUAUUGCUGAAAAGGGUGCCCAAACUUCUAGAUACCGAUCCUCUUUUUGGCGUUUCUCUUGUGUACAUACUUGGUGUCAGAGUAGCAGCCGUGUUAGUCUGUAUUCGCAAAAAGAAAAGGAGUACUUGUGGCACCUUAGAGACUAACAAAUUUAUUAGAGCAUAAGCUUUCGUGAGCUACAGCUCACUUCAUCGGAUGCAUUACUUGGUGUGAAAGCUUUUCCAUUACAAGGACAAUGGUAUUUUUCUUCUUAACGCCCUGCAGGUGUUCAUCUGUUCUUACUAGCCCUACUAUAAUUGGCUGGCUUGUGUACCGCUGCCCUCUACUGGAUGGGAUCAGAACUGCACAACUGCAUGUCAGCGUAGGCCCUCUGCUAUAAACAGCUGACAAAGGCUCUCUGUUGGCGUGAACGACCGCGGUCUCUGAUUUUGUGGCAGAAGGAGCUGAGCCCUCUCAUUGCUGUGACUCUGAAGUUGCAAACAGCCUUGUUGUACAGCACAGCCACAAGUGCAAAACUGGUCGGUGGUCGCAGAGUUGAUGUAAUUGUUCUCACUUUUAAAGAGUCUUUAUUUUUUACAUAAAUAACUGCUUUUCUGUUUUGUUUGGUGGCUUUGGUUUUUGUGCUGCUUGAAAUAUGAAACAGUAAGUACUUCUUUAACAGAGGAAACAAGUCAAAAAUUUGCUCCAAUCAUGGCCAAGCAGACAAAGAUUUUGGUGGCAUGUUUCUAUCCGAAAGUACAUUAGAGCACUGUAAAGUGUUAUACGUCCAGCUCUGGAUUCAGACCAGAUCCUGGGGUAAUUUCUUGCACCGGGCUCCCACUGACAUCAGUGAUUAUCUUAUGACUAUUACAAACGCAAGCUAUUGGCCGAAACUGGUCAGGAUGCUCACAUGCCGUCUGUGUUGUGAUGAGCAAAAGGUGGCAUCAGCAAUUAAAUGAACUGCACAUUUCUUUGUAGAUGUGAUGGACCAUUUAUUUCCUUCCAGGAGAAAUAACCCAAACGGUUGGCAGAAAUGUGAAACGUACUGAGCACUGGGUAUGGUUGGAAACAGCUGAAUAACAAAGUCAGGGAGGAUAUAAGAUAGAAUGAUAUAAAUCAGAGAUGGAAAAGACCAGUUAGAUGAGGAUUUCCCAACCUUUUUGGGUUGGCAGUGUCUUACUAGAAGUCAAAAAUUGUAAUGAUUCCCCCCCACUCUUACAUUUACAAUAAAAGGAAGGGUAAAAAAUGUAUCCGUUAUAACAAUGCUAAGCCUAUGUAAUAUAACUGCUACUACAUUUAGCCUGCUAAAUUUUGAAAGUUAUUCUGGAAAUUUUAUUUGCUUUGCUUUGCACUUGCACUAAAAUUGUCAAUGUCUCAUUUGCACCAAUUGCUUUCCAUGACCCCAUACACCCCCUCGGGAGUCAUGACCCACCGAUUAAAAACACUGAUUUACAUUAUCAACUGCAUUUCCCGGUCAGGGCAGGACUGGUUCCUACCAAGCAUGUUCGGUUGUCUUGUAAAGUCUAGUUAUCUCCUUUGAUGGAGCUCCCGUUCCUUCAUCAGAGCUUUUCUCCACUCAGGAACAGCCCUGCUCCAGCAAUUGGUGGCUAGCCAUUGGUGUAGCUGCACUAAUGCUCACUCCUAGGUGCAGAGAAGCACAAAGUGGGGUUCACACCAAUUAAGUGAAGGCCUGAGUGAAGGCUGCAGGAUUGAGGUUCAGUCAUUGCCACAAAUGACCACAAACAAUUGCUGUCCGUCCAUAUACCUCAUUUCUGAGUUCUCCUCUGCUCACACAAAUAAAAUCUGCCUUGAAAUUAUCUUUGUCUAGAUCACAAAAGGUUAAUGGUCCAGCAAGCACAAAUAAACAUACCAGGGUCCUUAUCUACACCAGCAAAUAUGCAUCCAUAUAAACAUCAAUGCAAGUUUCAAGACAGAGAUUCAAAAGGUGUUUAGGGACAAUCAGCGACACACCUGUUGUUUGCAGUGUCGUUGUGGCCGUGUCGGUCCCAGGAUAUUAGCGAGACAAGGUGGAUGAGGUAAUAUUUAUUGGACCAACUUCUGUUGGUGCGAGAGACAAGCUUUCAAGCCUACACAGAACUCUUCCUUGAGUGUGGGAAAGGUACUCAGGGUGUCACAGCUAAAUACAAAGUGGAACAGAUUCUCUAGCAUAAGCAGGUAGCACAUGUUGCAAGAGACCAUUCAAGGGUGGGCCGUUAACACCUCUGCGAUCAUAGGACACAGGAAGGUUAGUGGGUUACAGAUUGGUGUAAUGACUCAUAAAUCCAGCGCCUUUAUUGAAUCCAUGAUUUCUGGUAUCUAGCAAAGUUAUGAAUUUAAGCUCCCAGGCUCGUCUUUUCAUGGUAUUGCGCUUUGAGGACGAAGAUAAGAGGUCAGAUGUGGGGUGGUCAUUCUGUGAAAAGUGUUUGCUCGUAGGUAAUAGGUGUUUUUCUCUUCUCAUUUUUCUGUGUGAGUUCACUUGAGAGCAUUGUGAUUGUCUGGUUUCAUCCAUAUAGUUGUUCUGGGGGCAUUUAGUGCCUUACCCCACGUGUUGCGAUAGAAAGGUGUAGGACCCAUGGAUCUUGAAAGUUGUGUUGUAUAAUCUUCACAGUGGAGCUAUGUCUGCAGGGAGUUUGCUUCUGGGAGCUUACUCCUUGGCAAGUUUGGGGGAGUUUGAAAGCCAGAAAUGGGGUUCAGGAAAUGUUCCUUUCAGGAGCCAAUGGGAGCUGUGGGGGUGGCACUUGCGGGCAGCAGCACGCGGAGACCCUCUGCACUGCUCCAACCUAGGAGCCACUGCUGGGUGGGAGUGUGCUGGUCGCUUUGGGAGCCAUGCCACCUGAGCAGCUGCAAGCCUGAAGCAAUUCAGCUGUGGAAACGCAAGACUAUUCCUGCUGGAUGCUUGAGGAAUAAAGGGGGUGUUCUGCGGAUCAGUACGUUACAGAUUGUGAUGUGCUCCGAUAAGCAACAUAGGUAUGUCUACAUUGCUCCCCACUCACGGCGAUGUGUAGAGUACGGGCUGCUACCUGCCACAGUGAAAAGUAGGCUACAUCCACACUGCGGUGCGUACCUGCAGCGGGGAAAGGCUCUGGCAGUGGAAAGCCGCUGGAGCCUUUCCCUGCUGCCAAAGUCUUUAAUUGCAGCAGGGAAGGUCUCCAGCAGCUCUCUGCUGCAGGAGCCUUCCCUUGACCCGAGAA
Dermochelys coriacea (leatherback sea turtle) is the source of this 7258-nucleotide long non-coding RNA. RefSeq lists it as uncharacterized. The record is from RefSeq and is a predicted model, not a curated record. NCBI's taxonomy places the organism in Eukaryota, Metazoa, Chordata, Testudines, Dermochelyidae. The transcript has 3 exons.